Non-coding RNA from Camellia sinensis, 270 nucleotides. The record is from RefSeq and is a predicted model, not a curated record. Lineage: Eukaryota; Viridiplantae; Streptophyta; Magnoliopsida; Ericales; Theaceae.
CUUCAGUUGUUUUCCCAAAGCCCCUCUGUUUUUGAGACACCACUCAGACACUCUUCUUCGCCCUCGAAGACCAUCCCUGCGAACACGACCUACCCUCGACUUCGCCUGAAGGUAUUCAUGAAGUAAGUGUGCUGCAUUUGGAUUGGAUGUAAAGCCAUUCAUUGUUUGGUUGUUGUAACAACUCAUGAAUAUUGGUACCAAAAGUGAAGAUGAAUAUGACUAAUGUCAUGUGAGAAUUGCUCACGGGAGACGAAUCUUAUGCGAAUAUGC